Molecule: ribosomal RNA, 468 nt
Filed under: uncultured bacterium
Lineage: Bacteria
Description: partial 16S ribosomal RNA
Rfam family: Bacterial small subunit ribosomal RNA
Source: RNAcentral
GACGAACGCUGGCGGCGUGCUUAACACAUGCAAGUCGAACGGACAGGCCCUGCUCUUGUGGGGUGCUCGAGUGGCGAACGGGUGAGUAACACGUGAGUAACCUGCCCUUGACUUUGGGAUAAAUUCAGGAAACUGGGGCUCAUACCGGAUAGGAGCUCCUGCUGCAUGGUGGGGGUUGGUAAGUUUCGGCGGUUGGGGAUGGUAUCGCGGCUUAUCAGCUUGUUGGUGGGGUAGUGGCUUACCAAGGCUUUGACGGGUAGCCGGCCUGAGAGGGUGACCGGCCACAUUGGGACUGAGAUACGGCCCAGACUCCUACGGGAGGCAGCAGUGGGGAAUAUUGCACAAUGGGCGGAAGCCUGAUGCAGCAACGCCGCGUGCGGGAUGACGGCCUUCGGGUUGUAAACCGCUUUCGCCGGUGACGAAGCGUGAGUGACGGUAAUGGGUAAAGAAGCACCGGCUAACUACGUG